This 1673-nucleotide ribosomal RNA is filed under the name Siminovitchia thermophila. Its description in RNAcentral is "partial 23S ribosomal RNA". It matches the Rfam family "Bacterial large subunit ribosomal RNA", at positions 391 to 2070 of the family's 2925-position model. The record is from RNAcentral. Lineage: Bacteria; Bacillati; Bacillota; Bacilli; Caryophanales; Bacillaceae.
UCCCUCCCGAGUGGAUCCUGAGUACGGCGGGACACGAGAAAUCCCGUCGGAAUCCGGGAGGACCAUCUCCCAAGGCUAAAUACUCCCUAGUGACCGAUAGUGAACCAGUACCGUGAGGGAAAGGUGAAAAGCACCCCGGGAGGGGAGUGAAAUAGAACCUGAAACCGUGUGCCUACAAGUAGUCAGAGCACAAUAAGUGUGAUGGCGUGCCUUUUGUAGAAUGAACCGGCGAGUUGCGAUUUCAUGCAAGGUUAAGUUGAAAAGACGGAGCCGCAGCGAAAGCGAGUCUGAAUAGGGCGCAAGAGUAUGAGGUCGCAGACCCGAAACCAGGUGAUCUACCCAUGUCCAGGGUGAAGGUCAGGUAACACUGACUGGAGGCCCGAACCCACGUAUGUUGAAAAAUGCGGGGAUGAGGUGUGGGUAGGGGUGAAAUUCCAAUCGAACCUGGAGAUAGCUGGUUCUCUCCGAAAUAGCUUUAGGGCUAGCCUCAAGGUGAGAGUAUUGGAGGUAGAGCACUGUUUGGACGAGGGGCCCUCAUCGGGUUACCGACUUCAGACAAACUCCGAAUGCCAAAUACUUAUCCUUGGGAGUCAGACUGCGAGUGAUAAGAUCCGUAGUCGAGAGGGAAACAACCCAGACCACCAGCUAAGGUCCCCAAGUAUACGUUAAGUGGAAAAGGAUGUGGAGUUGCUUAGACAACCAGGAUGUUGGCUUAGAAGCAGCCACCAUUCAAAGAGUGCGUAAUAGCUCACUGGUCGAGUGACUCUGCGCCGAAAAUGUACCGGGGCUAAACGUAUCACCGAAGCUGUGGAUUGCAAUAGCAAUGGUAGGAGAGCGUUCCAAGCGCGGCGAAGUCGUCUUGAAAGAGGCGGUGGAGUGCUUGGAAGUGAGAAUGCCGGUAUGAGUAGCGAAAGAAGGGUGAGAAUCCCUUCCACCGAAAGCCUAAGGUUUCCUGAGGAAGGCUCGUCCGCUCAGGGUAAGUCGGGACCUAAGCCGAGGCCGAAAGGCGUAGGCGAUGGAUAACAGGUUGAGAUUCCUGUACCGCCUCAUUGCCGUUUGAGUGAUGGAGGGACGCAGGAGGAUAAGGCAAGCGCGCAGCUGGAAAAGCGCGUCCAAGCAGUAAGGCCGGUAAGUAGGCAAAUCCGCUUACCGUGUAGGCUGAGCUGUGAUGGCGAGGGAAAAAAAGUACCGAAGUUCCUGAUUCCACACUGCCGAGAAAAGCUUCUAGCGAGGCAAUAGGCGCCCGUACCGCAAACCGACACAGGUAGGCGAGGAGAGAAUCCUAAGGUGAGCGAGAGAACUCUCGUUAAGGAACUCGGCAAAAUGACCCCGUAACUUCGGGAGAAGGGGUGCUUUUUAGGGUGAAUAGCCCUGAGAAGCCGCAGUGAAUAGGCCCAGGCGACUGUUUAGCAAAAACACAGGUCUCUGCGAAGCCGCAAGGCGAAGUAUAGGGGCUGACGCCUGCCCGGUGCUGGAAGGUUAAGAGGAGAGGUCAGCUUAGGCGAAGCUUCGAAUUGAAGCCCCAGUAAACGGCGGCCGUAACUAUAACGGUCCUAAGGUAGCGAAAUUCCUUGUCGGGUAAGUUCCGACCCGCACGAAAGGCGCAACGAUCUGGGCACUGUCUCAACGAGAGACUCGGUGAAAUUAUAGUACCUGUGAAGAUGCAGGUUACC